AUACGGAGGGGGCUAGCGUUGUUCGGAAUUACUGGGCGUAAAGCGCGCGUAGGCGGAUUGUUAAGUCGGGGGUGAAAUCCCGGGGCUCAACCCCGGAACUGCCUCCGAUACUGACAGUCUUGAGGUCGAGAGAGGUGAGUGGAAUUCCGAGUGUAGAGGUGAAAUUCGUAGAUAUUCGGAGGAACACCAGUGGCGAAGGCGGCUCACUGGCCCGGUACUGACGCUGAGGCGCGAAAGCGUGGGGAGCAAACAGGAUUAGAAACCCCAGUAGUCC
RNAcentral lists this ribosomal RNA (274 nucleotides) under uncultured bacterium. RNAcentral's name for it is "partial 16S ribosomal RNA". It matches the Rfam family "Bacterial small subunit ribosomal RNA", at positions 523 to 796 of the family's 1533-position model. The record is from RNAcentral.